GAGGGAGCCUGAGAGACGGCUACCACAUCUAAGGAAGGCAGCAGGCGCGCAAAUUACCCAAUCCUGACUCAGGGAGGUAGUGACCAGAAAUAGCGACGACGGGUUUCGAUUCGUCGAUUGCAAUGAGCACAAUGUAAAAUUCUUAGCGAGUACCGACUGGAGGGCAAGUCUGGUGCCAGCAGCCGCGGUAAUUCCAGCUCCAGUAGCGUAUAUUAAAGUUGUUGCAGUUAAAAAGCUCGUAGUUGGACGUCUCUGCGACACGCAGCUCCGCCACGCAACUAGGUUCGUCCUUAAUUGAACGGCCUAGACCUGCGGGCCCUUUACCUUGAGGAAACUAGAGUGUUUAAGGCAGGCUGAGCCUGAAUACUGCAGCUGGGAAUAAUGCGCACGACUGUCUUGGCGAGGCAGCUCCACACUUUUAAUAGGAACAGUUGGGGGCAUUCGUACUCAGCAGUCAGAGGUGAAAUUCUUGGAUUUGCUGAAGACGGACUAAUGCGAAAGCAUUUGCCAAGGAUGUUUUCAUUAAUCAAGAACGAAAGUUAAGGGAUCCAAGACGAUCAGAUACCGUCCUAGUCUUAACCAUAAACGAUGCCGACUAGGGAUCGGGAGAGACGUACAAACUCUCUCGGCACCUCACGAGAAAUCCAAGUCUUUGGGUUCUGGGGGGAGUAUGGUCGCAAGACUGAAACUUAAAGGAAUUGACGGAAGGGCACCACAAGGAGUGGAGCCUGCGGCUUAAUUUGACCCAACACGGGGAAACUUACCAGGUCCAGACAUAGUGAGGAUUGACAGAUUGACAGCUCUUUCUUGAUCCUAUGGGUGGUGGUGCAUGGCCGUUCCUAGUUGGUGGAGUGAUCUGUCUGGUUAAUUCCGAUAACGAACGAGACCUCAGCCUGCUAACUAGAUCUUCUUAGAGGGACUUCCUGCUCGCGUGGGAGGAAGUGAGGCAAUAACAGGUCUGUGAUGCCCUUAGAUGUCCUGGGCCGCACGCGCGCUACACUGACGCAACCUGCAAGUUCCAAGCCUGUCAAGGCCUGGCAAACUGCCAACUGCGUCGUAGUUGGAACUGACCCUUGCAAUUCUUGGUCACGAACAGGAAUUCCUAGUAAGCGCAAGUCAUCAGCUUGCACUGACUAAGUCCCUGCCCUUUGUACACACAGCCCGUCGCUCCUACCGAUUCCGAGUGAUCAGGUGAACCUCUCGGACCCUGAAAGUUAAGUGAACCUUAUCACUUAGAGGAAGGAGAAGUCGUAACAAGGUA
This 1261-nucleotide ribosomal RNA is filed under the name metagenome. Its description in RNAcentral is "SSU rRNA". It matches the Rfam family "Eukaryotic small subunit ribosomal RNA", at positions 388 to 1801 of the family's 1831-position model. The record is from RNAcentral.